UGGCAAGGGACCAAGAAAAAGAAUGCAUUCAUCAGCUUGCUCGCUAGGCGAGUGCUCACUACAAGAAAAAGAGGAAUUUACGACACAUAGGUUGUGACACUUACCCAAAAACUGCCCUAAUUCCUCAUCUGCAACACUUUUCGCGGCGGUUAGAGGCAACCGUCCCCUUUUUUUCUAAAUGAAGGCAAAAUAUAGAGAAAUCCAUUUUGUGGAAGGUAAAAAUAUGAUUUCAUAUCCUACGACAGUUACAAGAACCGACCUCGCUCAAAUUUCUCGACCGUUCUCCACCAGCCGUCAUGUUCCAAUACCACUAUUUCAAUUCUCGCGGCUAUGUUUCUAUUUUAUACUCCAUUUUCAUUUUAUUUAGAAUCAUAAACCCUUUCCCUUUAUCCAAACCGAAACCAUAUUUCAUUUUUCAAAAAUUGCAAAGCGACCUUGUUCUAUCGAACCUCAGAAUCGCAAAAUCGUUCUUGUCUCACAUCUCAUGCACAAAGACACUGGGUGAAGUCAAGGAGGAUUUUUUUGGUUUGAGAGAAAGGUUUCAGGUUAUGGAUACUGAUAGAAGUGGUGUAAUGACUUUCAGUGAACUUAAAGAUGGUCUAAGAAUAUAUGUGUAAUACCUUUGGUUUGAUUUACUUUGAAAAGAAUUACAUAUUGUUGCUUGUGUCUUUACUUUAAUUUACAAUGACUUCCAUUUGUUUGUUUAUGUGUGUUGAUUUACAAUGAUGUCAAGCAUCUCAAGAUCAGAGACUCUGCGAGCAGGUCCCUUUUGUUCAAUUUGGCGUUUGUCCGUUUCAAUGGAAUUCAUUCAACCAGUCACUUGUAAUUUAUAUGUUAAAUUCAUGGUUGCUCCACCAUUUCGAGAAUGAAUCCCUGUUAAAGAAAGUUAUGGGAUAUGGACUGGGUUCACUAAAUAAGAUGGAGGAUAUUGGAAAGAGUAUUUUCCAAUGCUUCUCUAAAUUGAAAACAUAACUUGGACUCAUUCAUAUGCCUGAAAUAUGUUUUCUAUUCCAUCCAUAACUGCAACAAACAUCCAGAGGUUCCACUCAUGGAGAUCAAGUAUUUUAUUGAGAACUUCCUCUGUGAUUCUGGACUCAAUCACGUUGUCAUCCACCUAUGUGGUUUCGGGCAAAGUAACCAGCCACAUGAACACUUGCAACUUGGCCAUGUGUGGCAGCAGGUGGGCCAUUUAUGGUGGCAUCAUGUCGGCCAAUUAUGGUGGAAGAAUGCCAAACUAUAGUUACAACUGGAGCACAAUCAUCGAAAUGGAAAAAAGUGUGUAGCAUGGCUCCACUCUCACCGGAGGGACUCAUCAUCUUGACAUAUUCUUACGACAAAAAUAGAUGGUAUGUAACCCCUUUUUAAUGGGUCAGCUUGUCCAACUAGCAUACCAAUCGGCACUGGAACAUAUUAGAUCUGGAACUUUGGAAAAAUUUAAGGAUACACUCAAAAAGACUUUGAAAGGAGGAGAAUUUUUUUCUGCAUCUUCUAAUAAUUACAUUGGGUGUUCUGUGGCUUAAUUUGUUGAAGCAUGUCCAACUAAUGAAAAUAUUCUUUAUAAUUAUUAGUGAACAUCAAUUAUUUUGAAGGUUCUAAAUAUGUAUAGGUUGCUAAAGUAUAAAUACU
This is a long non-coding RNA of Lathyrus oleraceus (garden pea), 1626 nucleotides long. RefSeq lists it as uncharacterized. Lineage: Eukaryota; Viridiplantae; Streptophyta; Magnoliopsida; Fabales; Fabaceae. The transcript has 6 exons. The record is from RefSeq and is a predicted model, not a curated record.